UUACAAACUAUGAUGAGAAGAAGUAGUUAAGAUGUUCACUUACAGAGAUUAGCCGGUCGGUGAGAGGCGAAAGAAAGAGUCUUAAUGAAUACAUCUCGGAGUUUCACACUGAAAGCGUUAAGCAAUUAGGCUGUGACGGCAGACUUCCGUUAAAGGGUCAGGGUAUAGAAGUUUUGUACCCGGUUGAGGCAGAUAUAAUCUGUGAAUUAAGGUGGUAACACGAAGCUUAACGCUCUCGUCCUUUGA
This 246-nucleotide non-coding RNA is filed under the name Catonella morbi. RNAcentral's name for it is "T-box sequence". It matches the Rfam family "T-box leader". Rfam says of the family: Uncharged tRNA acts as the effector for transcription antitermination of genes in the T-box leader family. The record is from RNAcentral. Lineage: Bacteria; Bacillati; Bacillota; Clostridia; Lachnospirales; Lachnospiraceae.